AAUUACAAGAUACAGUAUGCCAUUCCAGCUUUGAUGAAAUAAAGUAAUGGUUUGAUUUGGAGAGCUUUAUUAUUAUAGACAGGGAUGAUGACCUGCAGUAGAAAGUUCCUUAUAACUCAUCAUGGCCAUUACGGAAGAUCUGAUUAAAAUUUGUUUAGAAAGCCACCAAAUAUGUCCAUGAAAAGUAAAAAAAAGACAGCAAUCUAUAUAAUGUACAUAUAUGUACUAAGCAGAAGCAUUGACUGUUUCGAGACCAAAUGAAUUGGAAUUUAGUGUUUUGAUGCUGAGAGACAGAGGAAAAUUAACUGGACAAUUUAGCUUCUUUUUCAUCAUCAUGUAUCACUGAAGUUGAUGUUUACCAUCUUAAAGAGCUUUUACCUCAGUUAAAAUGAAUUCUAAAUACGGAUAGUUUGGAGAUUUGUGAAUUUUCUUACAAUUGGAGUUUCAAAAAAGGAUUUUUUUAAACAAAAUUAUAUUUCAUGGAUGUAAUUUGUCGUUUCUUUCAUGAAAUAUUUGAAAAAUCUGCAAUACAUUUGUAUCUGACCAAGUGAGAGAUCUACAAAUAGACAUAUGAUAUUCAGUUGAACUGUAAAGAAGGAGAUAUUCAUUUAUAAGACUUAUAUGAGUGUUUUGUUAUUUUUAUGGCAAUUACGGGGAAAAGAUAGUAAUUGAUUUAAACUUUAAUCCUACCUUGAUAUACAUGAGAUAUACUAUCAUAACAUGUAGGCAUACAAUUCACUGAUGCAUCACUAAUGGAGUUACAUGUAAUUAUAAAACUAAGAAUAUGACAUAUGAUUGCCAAUAAAUUAACAACUCUUCAUCAGAGAACAAAUAGUCAUAUUAUAUAUUGUCCACCAGCAUGACCAGAGAACAAGAACAUCAUAUUUUAUCAUGAUUUAUAUUUCAAUUUCAUUUCAUUUCAUAACAGUUAACACAGAAUAAAGGUAUACAAAAAGUUCAGAAGCAUAAAAAAGUGUUUUAAUUGCA
Molecule: long non-coding RNA, 987 nt
Organism: Mytilus californianus (California mussel)
Lineage: Eukaryota; Metazoa; Mollusca; Bivalvia; Mytilida; Mytilidae
Exons: 2
Source: RefSeq, a predicted model, not a curated record